GCUUCGCAAAGCCCUAUUCAAUCAAAGUUCAUCAGCAGUCACGCUGCGGCCUGGAGAAGAGGCCAGGCCGAGCACGAGCCCCGGAGGAGAUGGGGCAGGAACUGGGGCUCCUGCAGGCACCCCGCUCCCCGCUUCCCGGGCGAGAGCCCCUUGCCGACACCUGUUGAAGCACGAAGACAGACCUCAGGCCAGACCCCUCGACCUCUCGAGCCUGGCCACCUUCACUGCAUAGCAACUGCCCCUCGGGUGCUCAGUCUCGGACGCCUCCGAAGUUUCUAAGGGCAGUGACUGCUGAGUGCUUCCAGCGCUGUAAUUUGUAGGUUGUCGCGGGGAUGAAUGGGGCUCGAGAGACAUCAGAGAUCAUCCUGCCGGGGGCCCCGGAGGCCAGAUUUCUCAGGGUUAGACUCGGCGAUUCACCAGGUAGCCAGGUGGCCUGGGGCACCUGCUUCACCUCUUCCUGCCACAGCUCGGCAUCCGCGUGAAGCAACAGAGGUUCAGGAAGUUUAGAGAUACUUCCAAAUCCAGCUAGCACACAUCAGAGGAGACAUCUGGAAAGUUUAAUUACCUAAUUAAAAACAGAAUUUCCUCCAAACCUCUCUCCAUAUAUUUAUUUAUUUAUUUAUUUAUUUAUUUAUUACAGUCUCUUCCUCCAUUCAUCCAUCUAUGGGCCCUUAGGUUGUUUCCAUAUCUUGGCUAUUGUAAAUAAUGUUGCAAUGAACAUGGGUGCAUAUAUCUUUUCAAGUUACUGUUUGUUGCCCAGGUUAUUACAGGAUAUUGAAUAUAGUUCCCUGUGCUAUCCAGUAAAUCCUUGUUGUUUAUUUUACAUAUAGUAGUGUGUAUCUGUUAAUCCCAUAGUCUUAAUUUAUCCUUCCUCCCUUCCCUUUUGGUAACCAAAAGUUUCUUUUCUAUGUCUGUGAGUCUGUUUCUGUUUUGUAAAUAAGUUCAUUUGUACUAUUUUUUAGAUUCCACAUAUAAGUGAUAUCAUAUAAUAUUUGUCUUUCUCUGUCUGACUUACUUCACUUAGUAUGAUCAUCUCUAGGUCCAUCCAUGUCGCUGCAGAUGGCGUUAUUUCAUUCUUUUUUAUGGCUGAGCCGUAUUCCA
Orcinus orca (killer whale) is the source of this 1101-nucleotide long non-coding RNA. RefSeq lists it as uncharacterized. The record is from RefSeq and is a predicted model, not a curated record. Lineage: Eukaryota; Metazoa; Chordata; Mammalia; Artiodactyla; Delphinidae. The transcript has 3 exons.